GUUUAUUGAUGACUAUCCAUGCUAAUACUGAGACGUCAGGAGUAAGAAUUCUUCUGGAUGUAAAUGACUAGUUUUACUAGAACUGAAAGCA
Small nucleolar RNA from Xenopus tropicalis (tropical clawed frog), 91 nucleotides. The record is from RefSeq and is a predicted model, not a curated record. NCBI's taxonomy places the organism in Eukaryota, Metazoa, Chordata, Amphibia, Anura, Pipidae.